This 267-nucleotide long non-coding RNA is filed under the name Lathyrus oleraceus (garden pea). Its description in RNAcentral is "Pisum sativum (pea) long non-coding RNA (PSAT_LNC025515)". The record is from RNAcentral. Lineage: Eukaryota; Viridiplantae; Streptophyta; Magnoliopsida; Fabales; Fabaceae.
UUCCUCACAAUUCUGCAGAUGAAAUCCAACAGCAAAUGAAAGGAAACCGACUUCGAAAUUGAAGUUAAAAAACCUACUCAACACAAAUUGACUCUAUCACUGAGGUAACAUCAGUAGAAUUUCCGAGUUUAACGCAUGAAAUCAAGUAACAGAAUGAACAUGAAAUCAACUAAUUGACAUCUUGAUUCAGUUGGUUUACAAAUUAUCUAUUCAACCUAGAAAUCAAAACAGCCCAACAUAAAACAAAUAGAGCGCAGUAAAUCCCCA